AACGAACGCUGGCGGCAUGCCUAACACAUGCAAGUCGAACGAGAUCUUCGGAUCUAGUGGCGCACGGGUGCGUAACGCGUGGGAAUCUGCCCUUUGCUUCGGAAUAACAGUUAGAAAUGACUGCUAAUACCGGAUGAUGUCUUCGGACCAAAGAUUUAUCGGCAAAGGAUGAGCCCGCGUAGGAUUAGGUAGUUGGUGGGGUAAAGGCUCACCAAGCCGACGAUCUGUAGCUGGUCUGAGAGGACGACCAGCCACACUGGGACUGAGACACGGCCCAGACUCCUACGGGAGGCAGCAGUGGGGAAUAUUGGACAAUGGCGAAAGCCUGAUCCAGCAAUGCCGCGUGAGUGAUGAAGGCCUUAGGGUUGUAAAGCUCUUUUACCCGGGAUGAUAAUGACAGUACCGGGAGAAUAAGCACCGGCUAACUACGUGCCAGCAGCCGCGGUAAUGUGACUACUG
RNAcentral lists this ribosomal RNA (459 nucleotides) under uncultured bacterium. RNAcentral's name for it is "bacterial SSU rRNA". It matches the Rfam family "Bacterial small subunit ribosomal RNA", at positions 29 to 534 of the family's 1533-position model. The record is from RNAcentral.